AUUGAACGCUGGCGGCAGGCCUAACACAUGCAAGUCGAACGGUAACAGGAAACAGCUUGCUGUUUCGCUGCCGAGUGGCGGACGGGUGAGUAAUGUCUGGGAAACUGCCUGAUGGAGGGGGAUAACUACUGGAAACGGUAGCUAAUACCGCAUAACGUCGCAAGACCAAAGAGGGGGACCCUCGGGCCUCUUGCCAUCGGAUGUGCCCAGAUGGGAUUAGCUUGUUGGUGGGGUAACGGCUCACCAAGGCGACGAUCCCUAGCUGGUCUGAGAGGAUGACCAGCCACACUGGAACUGAGACACGGUACAGACUCCUACGGGAGGCAGCAGUGGGGAAUAUUGCACAAGGGGCGCAAGCCGGAUGCAGCCAUGCCGCGUGUAUGAAGAAGGCCUUCGGGUUGGAAAGUACUUUCAGCGGGGAGGAAGGGAGUAAAGUUAAUACCUGUGCUCAUUGACGUUACCCGCAGAAGAAGCACCGGCUAACUCCGUG
RNAcentral lists this ribosomal RNA (490 nucleotides) under uncultured bacterium. RNAcentral's name for it is "partial 16S ribosomal RNA". It matches the Rfam family "Bacterial small subunit ribosomal RNA", at positions 30 to 507 of the family's 1533-position model. The record is from RNAcentral.